RNAcentral lists this ribosomal RNA (455 nucleotides) under Salmonella enterica subsp. enterica serovar Heidelberg. RNAcentral describes it as "partial 23S ribosomal RNA". It matches the Rfam family "Bacterial large subunit ribosomal RNA", at positions 2349 to 2803 of the family's 2925-position model. RNAcentral also lists the same sequence under 8 other names. Lineage: Bacteria; Pseudomonadati; Pseudomonadota; Gammaproteobacteria; Enterobacterales; Enterobacteriaceae. The record is from RNAcentral.
GUGCAAUGGCAUAAGCCAGCUUGACUGCGAGCGUGACGGCGCGAGCAGGUGCGAAAGCAGGUCAUAGUGAUCCGGUGGUUCUGAAUGGAAGGGCCAUCGCUCAACGGAUAAAAGGUACUCCGGGGAUAACAGGCUGAUACCGCCCAAGAGUUCAUAUCGACGGCGGUGUUUGGCACCUCGAUGUCGGCUCAUCACAUCCUGGGGCUGAAGUAGGUCCCAAGGGUAUGGCUGUUCGCCAUUUAAAGUGGUACGCGAGCUGGGUUUAGAACGUCGUGAGACAGUUCGGUCCCUAUCUGCCGUGGGCGCUGGAGAACUGAGGGGGGCUGCUCCUAGUACGAGAGGACCGGAGUGGACGCAUCACUGGUGUUCGGGUUGUCAUGCCAAUGGCACUGCCCGGUAGCUAAAUGCGGAAGAGAUAAGUGCUGAAAGCAUCUAAGCACGAAACUUGCCCCGAG